RNAcentral lists this ribosomal RNA (402 nucleotides) under uncultured prokaryote. RNAcentral describes it as "bacterial SSU rRNA". It matches the Rfam family "Bacterial small subunit ribosomal RNA", at positions 355 to 774 of the family's 1533-position model. The record is from RNAcentral.
UAGGGAAUAUUAGAAAUGGACGAAAGUCUGAUCUAGCAACACCGCGUGCGCGAAGAAGGCCUUCGGGUUGUAAAGCACUUUUUGGAAGGAUUAGGAAGGAAUGUACUUCCAGAAUAAGUCUCGGCUAACUACGUGCCAGCAGCCGCGGUAACACGUAGGAGGCAAACGUUAUCCGGAUUUACUGGGCGUAAAGCGCGUGUAGGUGGUUCUGUAAGUAGGGCGUGAAAGCUCCUGGCUCAACUGGGAGAGGCCGUUCUAAACUGCAGAGCUACAGGAUGGUAGAGGGAGGUGGAAUUCCGGGUGUAGCGGUGGAAUGCGCAGAUAUCCGGAGGAACACCAGUGGCGAAAGCGGCCUCCUGGACCAUUCCUGACACUCAGACGCGAAAGCUAGGGUAGCAAACG